This 468-nucleotide ribosomal RNA is filed under the name uncultured bacterium. Its description in RNAcentral is "partial 16S ribosomal RNA". It matches the Rfam family "Bacterial small subunit ribosomal RNA", at positions 28 to 507 of the family's 1533-position model. The record is from RNAcentral.
GACGAACGCUGGCGGCGUGCUUAACACAUGCAAGUCGAACGGAAAGGCCCUGCUUUUGUGGGGUGCUCGAGUGGCGAACGGGUGAGUAACACGUGAGUAACCUGCCCUUGACUUUGGGAUAACUUCAGGAAACUGGGGCUAAUACCGGAUAGGAGCUCCUGCUGCAUGGUGGGGGUUGGAAAGUUUCGGCGGUAGGGGAUGGACUCGCGGCUUAUCAGCUUGUUGGUGGGGUAGUGGCUUACCAAGGCUUUGACGGGUAGCCGGCCUGAGAGGGUGACCGGCGACAUUGGGACUGAGAUACGGCCCAGACUCCUACGGGAGGCAGCAGUGGGGAAUAUUGCACAAUGGGCGGAAGCCUGAGGCAGCAACGCCGCGUGCGGGAUGACGGCCUUCGGGUUGUGAACCGCUGUCGCCUGUGACGAAGCGUGAGUGACGGUAAUGGGUAAAGAAGCACCGGCUAACUACGUG